AUCGUACUCCCUCCAUCUGGAAAUACUUGUCAUCAAAAUGGACAAAAAAAAUGUAUCUAAAACUAAAAGACAUCUAGAUACAUCCUCUUUUAUUUAUUUUGAUGACAAGUAUUUUCGGACGGAGGGAGUACCUU
This is a non-coding RNA of Triticum aestivum (bread wheat), 134 nucleotides long. NCBI's taxonomy places the organism in Eukaryota, Viridiplantae, Streptophyta, Magnoliopsida, Poales, Poaceae. The record is from Rfam.